Molecule: ribosomal RNA, 406 nt
Filed under: uncultured bacterium
Lineage: Bacteria
Description: partial 16S ribosomal RNA
Rfam family: Bacterial small subunit ribosomal RNA
Source: RNAcentral
AUUGAACGCUGGCGGCAGGCCUAACACAUGCAAGUCGAACGAGUGGCGGACGGGUGGGUAAGUUCGGGGAAACGGCCGGAUGGAGGGGGAUAACAACUGGAAACGGUAGCUAAUACCGAAUACAAUCAGAUGUGCCCAGAUGGGAUUAGCUUGUUGGGGGGGUAACGUUCCACCAAGGCGACGAUCCCUAGCUGGUCUGAGAGGAUGACCAGCCACACUGGAACUGAGACACGGUCCAGACUCCUACGGGAGGCAGCAGUGGGGAAUAUUGCACAAUGGGCGCAAGCCUGAUGCAGCCAUGCCGCGUGUAUGAAGAAGGCCUUCGGGUUGUAAAGUACUUUCAGCGGGGAGGCGUUACCCGCAGAAGAAGCACCGGCUAACUCCGUGCCAGCAGCCGCGGUAAUAC